Molecule: unclassified non-coding RNA, 70 nt
Organism: Myotis lucifugus (little brown bat)
Lineage: Eukaryota; Metazoa; Chordata; Mammalia; Chiroptera; Vespertilionidae
Source: Ensembl
UAGAGGCGGCGGAGACAGGAAUGAAGCCAAGGCUGGGGAUGCGGGAGGUGGGAGGGGGAACCCAGCUGCA